Molecule: ribosomal RNA, 253 nt
Filed under: uncultured bacterium
Lineage: Bacteria
Description: partial 16S ribosomal RNA
Rfam family: Bacterial small subunit ribosomal RNA
Source: RNAcentral
UACGUAGGGUGCGAGCGUUGUCCGGAAUUAUUGGGCGUAAAGAGCUUGUAGGCGGUCUGUCGCGUCUGCUGUGAAAAUCCGGGGCUCAACCCCGGACUUGCAGUGGGUACGGGCAGACUAGAGUGUGGUAGGGGAGACUGGAGUUCCUGGUGUAGCGGUGAAAUGCGCAGAUAUCAGGAGGAACACCGGUGGCGAAGGCGGCAUCCUGGACCAACACUGACGCUGAGGAGCGAAAGCCAGGGGAGCAAACGGG